CCUUACCCACCUUUGACAUGGCAGGAAGUUUCCAGAGAUGGAUUCGUGCUCGAAAGAGAACCUGCACACAGGCGCUGCAUGGCUGUCGUCAGCUCGUGUCGUGAGAUGUUGGGUUAAGUCCCGCAACGAGCGCAACCCUUGCCAUUAGUUGCUACGAAAGGGCACUCUAAUGGGACUGCCGGUGACAAACCGGAGGAAGGUGGGGAUGACGUCAAGUCCUCAUGGCCCUUAUAGGUGGGGCUACACACGUCAUACAAUGGCCGGUACAAAGGGCAGCCAACCCGCGAGGGGGAGCCAAUCCCAUAAAGCCGGUCGUAGUCCGGAUCGCAGUCUGCAACUCGACUGCGUGAAGUCGGAAUCGCUAGUAAUCGUGGAUCAGCAUGUCACGGUGAAUACGUUCCCGGGUCUUGUACACACCGCCCGUCACACCAUGGGA
This 436-nucleotide ribosomal RNA is filed under the name uncultured bacterium. RNAcentral's name for it is "bacterial SSU rRNA". It matches the Rfam family "Bacterial small subunit ribosomal RNA", at positions 969 to 1409 of the family's 1533-position model. The record is from RNAcentral.